Molecule: ribosomal RNA, 465 nt
Filed under: uncultured bacterium
Lineage: Bacteria
Description: partial 16S ribosomal RNA
Rfam family: Bacterial small subunit ribosomal RNA
Source: RNAcentral
GACGAACGCUGGCGGCGUGCUUAACACAUGCAAGUCGAACGGAAAGGCCCCUUUGGGGGUACUCGAGUGGCGAACGGGUGAGUAACACGUGAGUAACCUGCCCUUGACUUCGGGAUAACUUCAGGAAACUGGGGCUAAUACCGGAUAGGAAUCCUUGCUGCAUGGUGGGGGUUGGAAAGCUUCGGCGGUUUUGGCUGGACUCGCGGCUUAUCGGCUUGUUGGUGGGGUAGUGGCUUACCAAGGCUUUGACGGGUAGCCGGCCUGAGAGGGCGACCGGCCACAUUGGGACUGAGAUACGGCCCAGACGCCUACGGGAGGCAGCAGUGGGGAAUAUUGCACAAUGGGCGGAAGCCUGAUGCAGCAACGCCGCGUGCGGGAUGACGGCCUUCGGGUUGUAAACCGCUUUCAGCAGGGGCGAAGCUUGUGGUGACGGUACCUGCAGAAGAAGCACCGGCUAACUACGUG